RNAcentral lists this ribosomal RNA (2698 nucleotides) under uncultured Ophiocordycipitaceae. RNAcentral describes it as "partial small subunit ribosomal RNA". It matches the Rfam family "Eukaryotic small subunit ribosomal RNA". The record is from RNAcentral. Lineage: Eukaryota; Fungi; Ascomycota; Sordariomycetes; Hypocreales.
CAUAUGCUUGUCUCAAAGAUUAAGCCAUGCAUGUCCAAGUAUAAGCAAUUAUACAGCGAAACUGCGAAUGGCUCAUUAUAUAAGUUAUCGUUUACUUGAUAGUACCUUACCACUCGGAUAACCGUGGUAAUUCUAGAGCUAAUACGUGCCGAAGAUCCCGACUCACGGAGGGAUGUAUUUAUUAGAUUCAAAGCCAAUGCCCCCGGGGCUCACUGGUGAUUCAUGAUAACUGCUCGAAUCGCACGGCCUUGCGCCGGCGAUGGUUCAUUCAAAUUUCUUCCCCAUCAACUUUCGAUGUUUGGGUAGUGGCCAAACAUGGUUGCAACGGGUAACGGAGGGUUAGGGCUCGACCCCGGAGAAGGAGCCUGAGAAACGGCUACUACAUCCAAGGAAGGCAGCAGGCGCGCAAAUUACCCAAUCCCGACACGGGGAGGUAGUGACAAUAAAUACCGAUACAGGGCUCUUUUGGGUCUUGUAAUUGGAAUGAGUACAAUUAAAAUCCCUUAACGAGGAACAAUUGGAGGGCAAGUCUGGUGAACGUUGCUGGUGCCAGAGAGAGCCACCCUCGGUAAACAAUGGCUAGUCGAGCGCUCGUCGAGCGACGGGUGAGCGCCGGCGAGACAACCUGGAUCGGGGAAGGCUGAGGGCUCUCCGCCAGCCUAUGCUGAUCCCGAGCGGAGCCACCCGUGUGGCCUGUGUAGAGCGCGCCAAGGUGUCGGUCCCGGCCCUCCCGGGGGGGGGGGGCGCCCGGGGCUUAAGGUACGUGCCAAUCCCCCGCGAAAGCGGGGCCCCACGGAGUAGCACCCGUCGUGCGAAGCCGUGGUGGGUAGACCCCCCUCCUCCCCAGCGGGGUUGGGGGGGGGUCGCGUGUCAACAGAACGCAAGGUCCUUCCGGGCCCGAUCGAGGCAGGGUGCUAGGGGGUUGAGGCGCCGCCUGUCGGGCCUGCCCCCCCCUCGCCUGGAUCCCCCGGGGGGGACCUGAGGCCUGUUGCCUUGUCGUCGUGGCCAGCAGCCGCGGUAAUUCCAGCUCCAAUAGCGUAUAUUAAAGUUGUUGUGGUUAAAAAGCUCGUAGUUGAACCUUGGGCCUGGCUGGCCGGUCCGCCUCACCGCGUGCCCUGGUCCGGCCGGGCCUUCCCCUCUGUGGAACCCCAUGCCCUUCGCUGGGCGUGGCGGGGGAUACAGGACGUUUACUUUGAAAAAAUUAGAGUGCUCCAGGCAGGCCUAUGCGCAUACAAUUAGCAUGGAAUAAUGAAAUAGGACGCGCGGUUCUAUUUUGUUGGUUUCUAGGACCGCCGUAAUGAUUAAUAGGGACAGUCGGGGGCAUCAGUAUUCAAUAGUCAGAGGUGAAAUUCUUGGAUCUAUUGAAGACUAACUACUGCGAAAGCAUUUGCCAAGGAUGUUUUCAUUAAUCAGGAACGAAAGUUAGGGGAUCGAAGACGAUCAGAUACCGUCGUAGUCUUAACCAUAAACUAUGCCGACUAGGGAUCGGACGAUGUUUUUUUUUUGACUCGUCGGCACCUUGCGAGAAAUCAAAGUGCUUGGGCUCCAGGGGGAGUAUGGUCGCAAGGCUGAAACUUGAAGAAAUUGACGGAAGGGCACCACCAGGGGUGGAGCCUGCGGCUUAAUUUGACUCAACACGGGGAAACUCACCAGGUUAACUCACGGUUCAUGGGCCAGACACAAUGAGGAUUGACAGAUUGAGAGCUCUUUCUUGAUUUUGUGGGUGGUGGUGCAUGGCCGUUCUUAGUUGGUGGAGUGAUUUGUCUGCUUAAUUGCGAUAACGAACGAGACCUUAACCUGCUAAAUAGCCCGCAUUGCUCCGGCAGUGCGCCGGCUUCUUAGAGGGACUAUCGGCUCAAGCCGAUGGAAGUUUGAGGCAAUAACAGGUUGACCUUCACAGGCCUGUCACAGUGGGCCUCGUUAAAGAUAACUGCUAGUCCAGCGACUUUACCUCCGCGGGGAAGCCCCCAAUGUCGGGCGGAGGAGGGCCCUCCGGGGCCCAUGUCGCGGGCGACACCACCUGGUACAGGGGACGCCGCGAACCCAGCGAUGGGGGACGGCCGAUCCUGUGGCGAGCCUGGGUAGCGCCAGGCCGUCGCAACGCGCGCAAAGGGGUGGGCUGAGCCGCCGCGGCCAGCUUGAGGUACGUGCUAAUCCCGUGGGAAACCACGCCUCCGUAACUAGGCCCGACACGCCAAAGUACGGGGGGGGGGGGGGUCGUGGGCGCUCCGCCGAUCCCACGGCCCCGGCGGUGCUCACGCAGUCACGUCGGAGAAGCAAAAGCAAGCAAGCGAGCGGGGGGGGGGGGGGGCCCGCUUCAUGCUCGAGACCGUCGUGGGACCUGCGUGGGCGGACCACCUGCUGUGAUGCCCUUAGAUGUUCUGGGCCGCACGCGCGCUACACUGACGGAGCCAGCGAGUACCCCCUUGGCCGGAAGGCCCGGGUAAUCUUGGUAAACUCCGUCGUGCUGGGGAUAGAGCAUUGCAAUUAUUGCUCUUCAACGAGGAAUCCCUAGUAAGCGCAAGUCAUCAGCUUGCGUUGACUACGUCCCUGCCCUUUGUACACACCGCCCGUCGCUACUACCGAUUGAAUGGCUCAGUGAGGCGUCCGGACUGGCCCAGAGAGGUGGGCAACCCCCCCUCAGGGCCCGGAAGCUCUCCAAACUCGGUCAUUUAGAGGAAGUAAAAGUCGUAACAAG